CGAGGGGGGCCGUGCGGGUGUGCAAGAGGUGUGCGGGUGUGCAAGGGCUGGGGGUGCGUGCAGGUGUGGGGGUGUGCAAGGGGUGGGCGUGCGCCCGUGCGGGUGUGCAUGCAGGUGUGCGUCCGUCUGGGGGUGUGCGUGCAAGGGGCGUGGGGGGGUGUGUCCGUGGGGGGUGCGCGUGCAAAGGGGGAGCGUGUCUGGCCGUGGGGGUGUGCGUGCAGGUGUGUGUCCGCGUGUGGUUGUGUCACCGAUCCGUGCGGUUGUGCAUCCGCGUGGUUGUGUGCAAGGGGGGCGUGCGAGUGUCUGUGCACGCUUGUAGCGUGCCCGUGGUUGUGUAUCUGGGUGCGGGGGCGUGUGCGGGUGUGAGUCCGGGUGUAGUUGUGUGUCCGUGCGAGGUUGUGUCGUGCGUCCCCGUGGUUGUGUGUCCGUGCGGGUGGGCGUGCAAGGGGUGUGCACCCUCGUGCGUGUGUGUCCGCGUGCAACCGUGCCCCGUGCUCACGUGCGGCUGUGUCCCGUGUCGGUGUGGUUGUGCAGGGGGUGCGUGCGGGUGUGCAUCUACAAGUGGGUGUGUCACACGCCCGUAUCUGAUGGUGCAUCCGCACGUGCUUGUGCGUUCACGCGCAGCUGUGCUGAGUGUGCACGUCUCCGUGUGGUUGUGCACCCGCGUGCUCGUGUUGCACGGCUGUGUGUGGCUGUGCACCUCCGUGCGGUUGUUGCACGCCCACGUGCAAUCCCUCCUGCGCUUGUGUCACUCAUCGGUGUGCAGUUGUGCAUCCGCGUGUGGCACUCGUGUGCCCACGUGCAGUCCCGUGUGCAGUUGCACGUGCAGGUGCGCGUGCAAAAGAGCUGCUGCGCGUGAUCCCGCGUGCACGCGUUGUGCGUGGUCGUGCAUCCCCGUGUGGGUGUGCCCCGUGUGGGUGUGCACCCACGUGCAAUCGUCACGCAUCCACGCCUGGGUGCGGUUGUGCACCCACGGACAUUUGCACACCCACGUGCAAGUGUGUCUCGCGGUUGUGCUUGUGUGUGGGUGUGCGUCCGCGUGUGGUUGUGUGCACCGUGUCCGCGUGUGCAUCUGCUGCACACGCGUGUGGCAGCGCACACGUUGGUGUGUGGUUGUGCCCUGUGUGAUUCUGCACGAGGCUGUAGGCCCGUGUGCACGCGCUUGUGCCUGAGUGUGACGUGCUUGCACGCCCACCCCCCCCUGUGGCCUCACGGGCACCCGUGGGUGCUCAAGGUCAGGGCCGUGCACGCUGGUCGGAGGGGCGUGAGUGUGCACGAGCGUGUGGGAGUUGUGCACCUGCGUGUGAGCACUGCGUGUGCAUGGCUUGUGCACGUUGUGUGUGUGUGUGUGUGUGUGCAGCGUGUUUGGGCGUGCAACGGCUGGGGGGGGGGAGGUGUGCACCCUGUGCAACCCCCGUGUGCUGUGGGUGUGCAUUGCACGUGAGCGUGCGCCGUGUGUGUGUGUGUGCGUGUGCUGUGGGUGUGCACUGUGAGUGUGCACUGUGAGUGUGCACAGUGUGGGCGUGCAAACCGCAGGCGUGCACUGCGCGUGUUGUCCACGCUCGUGCUGUUUGCACGCCCACCCUGCGUGCAUCCGCUGCAGGUGCCGCGUGCGUGCACGCUCGGGGUGCUGUGCGCACACUGUGGGUGUGCAACGGGCGUGCACAGCACGCGGGUGCACUCGGGGUGUGGAGUGUGCAAACGCCGCGUGUGCAACACAACGCCGGGGGCUGCGUGGGUGUGCACGG
This 1748-nucleotide long non-coding RNA is filed under the name Anas platyrhynchos platyrhynchos (common mallard). Its description in RNAcentral is "lncRNA (ENSAPLG00000029528.1)". Lineage: Eukaryota; Metazoa; Chordata; Aves; Anseriformes; Anatidae. The record is from RNAcentral.